This 797-nucleotide ribosomal RNA is filed under the name uncultured bacterium. Its description in RNAcentral is "bacterial SSU rRNA". It matches the Rfam family "Bacterial small subunit ribosomal RNA", at positions 53 to 886 of the family's 1533-position model. The record is from RNAcentral.
ACAUGCAAGUCGAACGAGUAAGGCCUAGCUUGCUAGGAUUCUGCUAGUGGCGCACGGGUGAGUAACGCGUGGGAAUUUACCUAAUAGUAUGGAAUAACAUUCAGAAAUGAAUGCUAAUACCGUAUAAGCCCUGAGGGGGAAAGAUUUAUCGCUAUUAGAUAAGCCCGCGUUGGAUUAGCUUGUUGGUAAGGUAAUGGCUUACCAAGGCUACGAUCCAUAGCUGGUCUGAGAGGAUGAUCAGCCACACUGGGACUGACACACGGCCCAGACUCCUACGGGAGGCAGCAGUGGGGAAUAUUGGACAAUGGGCGAAAGCCUGAUCCAGCAAUGCCACGUGAGUGAUGAAGGCCUUCGGGUUGUAAAGCUCUUUUAACAAGGAAGAUAAUGACGGUACUUGUAGAAAAAGCACCGGCUAACUCCGUGCCAGCAGCCGCGGUAAUACGGAGGGUGCUAGCGUUGUUCGGAAUUACUGGGCGUAAAGGGCGCGUAGGCGGUUAAUUAAGUUGGAAGUGAAAUCCCAGAGCUCAACUCUGGAACUGCUUUCAAAACUGGUUGGCUAGAGUUAGGUAGAGGAUAGUGGAAUUCCCAAUGUAGAGGUGAAAUUCGUAGAUAUUGGGAGGAACACCAGAGGCGAAGGCAACUAUCUGGACCUUAACUGACGCUGAGGCGCGAAAGUGUGGGGAGCAAACAGGAUUAGAUACCCUGGUAGUCCACACUGUAAACGAUGAGUGCUAGGUAUUGGAUUUUAAUUCAGUGCCGUAGCUAACGCGUUAAGCACUCCGCCUGGGGACUACGGU